Molecule: long non-coding RNA, 655 nt
Organism: Oryza sativa Japonica Group (Japanese rice)
Lineage: Eukaryota; Viridiplantae; Streptophyta; Magnoliopsida; Poales; Poaceae
Source: RefSeq, a predicted model, not a curated record
CCAUCAAACUCCCUAGUCUAGCCUUCUCCUCAUCCCAGCUGCAUCGCCACACCCCAUUAUCCAUUCCUAACCCGAAGAAACCGAGAAGGAGAGCUCCAUCUCCCUUAUCCAUCUCAACCUCACCGCCGACCGUGAAGACGACGACCGCCUCCAGCGCCAUUACGCCGCGGUCGUUUCCUCUUCUCUUGCGUCCCAUUAUCACCUCUCCACGCCGAUUCCAUCCCUCUAAGUUUCACCCCAUUUCAUGCAGUGGUUUGGUGGGAACGCAAACCUCGCCGGCGAUGCUCUGGAGCACGCACCGGGCGCCGCCGUGGCGGCAUCGUCGUCGUUGCCAUCGAUCUAGACUGAGCCGGAGCGAGCCACCACGCCACCAGCUUCACCUCGACCGCCUCUCCAUUUACCCCCAAGAAACCCAUCCAAUGGCGCAGCGAUCUUGGAGAUCGACAUCGUCUUCUCCAACUCCGUUCAACUGCUUCCAUCAUCGAAUCCAUUCUCUCUGAUCGAGCAGCCGACGUCAUCCCUGGAGUUGUGCCAUGCCGCCAUGGAGCUUCGCCGUCGCUGUGGCUCUGCAGACAACCCCAGCCUUGUCUAGCAUCUCGAUAAUUGCUUAAUCGGUGAAGAAGUGAAUUAGGUGCUGACAUUUUCCAGUUUCAAG